This 227-nucleotide ribosomal RNA is filed under the name uncultured bacterium. Its description in RNAcentral is "partial 16S ribosomal RNA". It matches the Rfam family "Bacterial small subunit ribosomal RNA", at positions 109 to 334 of the family's 1533-position model. The record is from RNAcentral.
AGUAACGCGUGAGGAACCUGCCUCAAAGAGGGGGACAACAGUUGGAAACGACUGCUAAUACCGCAUAAGCCCACGGCUCGGCAUCGAGCAGAGGGAAAAGGAGCAAUCCGCUUCGAGAUGGCCUCGCGUCCGAUUAGCUAGUUGGUGAGGUAAUGGCCCACCAAGGCGACGAUCGGUAGCCGGACUGAGAGGUUGAACGGCCACAUUGGGACUGAGACACGGCCCAG